GACAACAUACGUUUAAAGCAAAGACACUGAAACUGCUUUAACGUUAAACACGUUGGGAAAAUCCACGCUAACAACAGGUCUACAGGUUGAGGCCAAUCGUGUGUACCAGCAUGACUCCGCCUCCCUUUUAUUUUUGGUGACACGCAGGUGGAACAGAAACAUACAAGGAAUGUGACAUUUCUUCGUUGAGAUCUCUUUGAGCUUGUAUGAAUGACUAGUUGUAUUAGCCUGCCGGUUUUAAAUAGGGCAGGAGCUCUAUAGAGAACAAUACUUGAAAGAGGAAGGAUAAGUUUAAAGAAAGAGGAACAUCUCACAGAUUGACAGCCAGUGUUGAAAAAGAGGGAAGCAGCAGAUUUAACAAAAACAAUCACAGAUGUCAUUAUACUGCCAAAUAAAACAGUGGAAAUGGGCAUUCUUAUCAUUGCUUUUGCCAACAAAUGAUUAGAUGUCUUUUACUCCACAGAAAAUAUUUGCAUUAUGUAGUGCCAUUUAUGUGAUGCCAUCAUCAUAAAUUAUCAUAAACUAUAAACUGUGCGAAUAUCUUGGUGCAAAAAUUGACUCAUGGCAACAAAGAAAGGGCCCUCAUAUACUAUUAAAACCCUUGGCAAGCAUGAUUAGGAUUUUAAGAUAGAGAAUCGGAGCCUGUCUGUAAUAGUCCACAGACCUGUCAAUCAUCUGAAUCCCCCAGGGCCCCUGACUCUUUGUUUACCCCUGCAAGGCGGCAGUAUGAAAAAGAGCAUGCAUGUAGUAUAUCUGCAUGUAGACUUGAGAGAAUAGACUGGACACUGAGUAUCUAAAUUUUGUGGUAUUCAAAGGGAACAUGCACAGUUGAUGAAAUGCCACUAGAAUUUGUUUCCAGAUACAUGUAAAGAAUUUAUUAUCACAUUUUGCUCAA
This is a long non-coding RNA of Micropterus dolomieu (smallmouth bass), 895 nucleotides long. RefSeq lists it as uncharacterized. Lineage: Eukaryota; Metazoa; Chordata; Actinopteri; Centrarchiformes; Centrarchidae. The record is from RefSeq and is a predicted model, not a curated record. The transcript has 3 exons.